This 241-nucleotide ribosomal RNA is filed under the name uncultured bacterium. RNAcentral describes it as "partial 16S ribosomal RNA". It matches the Rfam family "Bacterial small subunit ribosomal RNA", at positions 15 to 236 of the family's 1533-position model. The record is from RNAcentral.
GAUCAUGGCUCAGGAUGAACGCUGGCGGCGUGCUUAACACAUGCAAGUCGAGCGAAGCACUUAGGAAAGAUUCUUCGGAUGAUUUCCUUUGUGACUGAGCGGGCGGACGGGUGAGGUAACGCGUGGGUAACCUGCCUCAUACAGGGGGAUAACAGUUAGAAAUGACUGCUAAUACCGCGUAAGACCACGGUACCGCAUGGUACAGUGGUAAAAACUCCGGUGGUAUGAGAUGGACCCGCGU